RNAcentral lists this long non-coding RNA (680 nucleotides) under Olea europaea (common olive). Its description in RNAcentral is "long non-coding RNA (OEUR_LNC002448)". The record is from RNAcentral. Lineage: Eukaryota; Viridiplantae; Streptophyta; Magnoliopsida; Lamiales; Oleaceae.
AAUGGUCACAUAUAUCAAAUGGUGGGUCACAUACCAUCAUUACCAACACUAUCGCAUCGCCACUGCCACAAAAAUCACUUGCGACCACCUCACCCCAUUAUCACCACCACCAUCGCCAUCAACAAUAUCAACACCACCCACAUCAACACUGCCAACACGAGCACCUCCACCAUUGCUAGAAACCACCACGACCACCACCACCAAAUACACCAACAAUACCUAACCAGCCACCUCACCAAUAACCAACAUCUCCGCCACGACCACCGUCUGAAACCAUCACAGCCACAAGGACCAUAACCACACCCAGAAACCACCACCAAAAACAUACAACAAUACACCACUCCACAACCUCACCAAAACCACACACAUCAGCAACACAGGCAGAAGCAGCAAAAAGGGUUAGAACCAGUAGCAACCGCACUCGUCCUCGGCUACGAUGACGACAUCAUCGCUCACAGUAUGUUGCAGUGUCGCCAAUCACACACUUAACGAAGGAGAGGCGGAUCUGUAGAGAGGAUGGGAAAGGAGAGAGUGAGAAAGAGAUGUCGGACGAAGAAAAGCUGGAUCUGCAGAAUCACCGUUUGCACAAGUUGCCGUUCGCAGCAGGUGAUGCGGUUGGAAUCAGCUUCACCCCACGACGCUGUUGAUGACUCUCAACAGUCCCCAAUGUUAGCCGCGUC